RNAcentral lists this ribosomal RNA (490 nucleotides) under uncultured bacterium. RNAcentral describes it as "bacterial SSU rRNA". It matches the Rfam family "Bacterial small subunit ribosomal RNA", at positions 29 to 526 of the family's 1533-position model. The record is from RNAcentral.
AAUGAACGUUGGCGGCGUGGAUUAGGCAUGCAAGUCGAGCGAAUGUCAGCUAUGUAGCAAUACGUGACUGGCGGAAGCGGCGAAAGGGAGAGUAACGCGUAGUUACGUACCCCGAGGCCCGGAAUAGCCACGGGAAACUGUGGGUAAUGCCGGAUAAUAUCUUAGGAUCAAAGAUGUGAUUUCACCUUGGGAGCGGACUGCGUCGUACUAGCUUGUUGGUGGGGUAAUGGCCUACCAAGGCGAUGAUGCGUAGCGGGUGUGAGAGCAUGACCCGUCUCACUGGGACUGAGACACUGCCCAGACACCUACGGGUGGCUGCAGUCGAGAAUCUUCGGCAAUGGACGAAAGUCUGACCGAGCGACGCCGCGUGCGGGAUGAAGGCCUUCGGGUUGUAAACCGCGAAAGUAGGGAGGAAGGCUUCGUGAAGAACGAGGUUUGACCAAUCUACAGUAAGGACGGGCUAAGUACGUGCCAGCCGCCGCAGUAAGAC